RNAcentral lists this ribosomal RNA (453 nucleotides) under uncultured bacterium. RNAcentral describes it as "partial 16S ribosomal RNA". It matches the Rfam family "Bacterial small subunit ribosomal RNA", at positions 29 to 507 of the family's 1533-position model. The record is from RNAcentral.
AUGCACGCUGACAGAAUGCUUAACACAUGCAAGUCAACUUGAACUUCGGUUUGGGUGGCGGACGGGUGAGUAACGCGUAAAGAACUUGCCUCACAGAUAGGGACAACAUUUGGAAACGAAUGCUAAUACCUGAUAUUAUGAUUAUAUGGCAUCGUAUAAUUAUGAAAGCUAUAUGCGCUGUGAGAGAGCUUUGCGUCCCAUUAGCUAGUUGGAGAGGUAACGGCUCACCAAGGCGAUGAUGGGUAGCCGGCCUGAGAGGGUGAUCGGCCACAAGGGGACUGAGACACGGCCCUUACUCCUACGGGAGGCAGCAGUGGGGAAUAUUGGACAAUGGACCAAGAGUCUGAUCCAGCAAUUCUGUGUGCACGAUGAAGUUUUUCGGAAUGUAAAGUGCUUUCAGUUGGGAAGAAAAAAAUGACGGUACCAACAGAAGAAGUGACGGCUAAAUACGUG